ACUCCUACGGGAGGCAGCAGUGGGGAAUAUUGCACAAUGGGGGAAACCCUGAUGCAGCCAUGCCGCGUGUGUGAAGAAGGCCUUCGGGUUGUAAAGCACUUUCAGUAGGGAGGAAGGUAGUGUAGUUAACACCUGCAUUAUUUGACGUUACCUACAGAAGAAGCACCGGCUAAUUCCGUGCCAGCAGCCGCGGUAAUACGGAGGGUGCGAGCGUUAAUCGGAAUUACUGGGCGUAAAGCGCAUGCAGGCGGCCUGUUAAGUCAGAUGUGAAAGCCCGGGGCUUAACCUCGGAAUUGCAUUUGAAACUGGCAGGCUAGAGUCUUGUAGAGGGGGGUAGAAUUUCAGGUGUAGCGGUGAAAUGCGUAGAGAUCUGAAGGAUACCAGUGGCGAAGGCGGCCCCCUGGACAAAGACUGACGCUCAGAUGCGAAAAGCGUGGGGAGCAAACAGGAUUAGAUACCCUGGUA
RNAcentral lists this ribosomal RNA (465 nucleotides) under uncultured bacterium. Its description in RNAcentral is "bacterial SSU rRNA". It matches the Rfam family "Bacterial small subunit ribosomal RNA", at positions 335 to 792 of the family's 1533-position model. The record is from RNAcentral.